Solea solea (common sole) is the source of this 1651-nucleotide long non-coding RNA. RefSeq lists it as uncharacterized. The transcript is spliced from 4 exons. The record is from RefSeq and is a predicted model, not a curated record. NCBI's taxonomy places the organism in Eukaryota, Metazoa, Chordata, Actinopteri, Pleuronectiformes, Soleidae.
AAGGUUCGAUGUCUCAGAAUGUCUCCUGUCUCCCUUUUGUUUCUUUCAUUUAUUUUAAAUCCUGUUCCUAACGUUGUUCUACUAUGUCUUGACAUACGUGCUAUGAUGUUUUUAUAUUUGAAUGUGAUAUAAAUAAAUACACACUCUUGUACGUACGAAAUUACGUAACACGUACCGCCGUGUUCCAAAUGGAAGCGGGGAGAUACUUUUAUAGCUGUGACAUUUUAACAUGGAGCUAAAGUAAAAAAGUCCACAAGACCGUAAUGAGCAACACGUUACUGGACCAUGGUGAGCGUACAACGAGCAUUAGCUACACGCUAAUGUUAGCGUUUAGCUUGACAGGCGACAGCAUGAACCCUGUCGGCUUCUGUUGACGGAAAUGGUGUCAGAAUAUUGAGAGGCGUGUGAUGGUAUCUGUGCUAACUUGGUCGCUUGUGUCGCCAGGUCCCCCCCCCCUGUCCUCUCUGCAGCUCGUGUCGGCAGCUCUGUGGCAGAUAGUGAAGCAGGGAGCUGUGGUGCACUAUGGUCUGCUGGAGGAGUUCAUCAGCUCAGGAAAAUAUUCCAAACAGUGUUUGGCCCUAAAUAUGACUCCGCUCUGGAAACAAUAGUGUGGAAAUUUCUCUAAAACCUUCAGAAGCUGCUGCCUGUUCCAAACCUUGAACAAAUGUCUCUCUGGCUCAGUCUCUCCCCUUCUGUCUUGAAAGAGUGUGCAGAUUUCAUAAAACAACCUCAGCCUCUGAAUACACUUAUUCAGCAUCACAAACAUCACAGGCAUGAAGUUGCACAAGCUCCGUCCGUCUUCCUCUGGCGAUGACUGCAUACUGUCCAGCCUGUCCUACCACCUACCAAACGCCGUCAAUGACGAAGGAGAUAAAGUUGUCAUAUCUGGAUCCACGUGUUUCACUGAGGACGACCGCGGCGGCAACGCACUUGCAACCGAGUUUAAACAGGAUGAAGAAGAAAGUAAUGUGACGGAUUACCAAGGAGCCUCCGUUGAAGUAAUACUGGAACCUUUUGAUGGAAGUGAGCCUGAUGAUGAUGAAGAUAUGGACAAAAAUUGCUUAAAAACUCACACUAGGACUUCAUCAAGAACCUUCAGGUGUGUUGCUUGUGGGAAACAUUUUGGUUCUGUUGUCAAACUAAAAAUGCACAGGGUCUCUUAUGGCUGUUUGACUAACAGAGGGAGUCGGACAGGUUCUGUGAGCCAAAGUUGGUGGGUGUAAUUUCCAGUCACCUGACAGUGAGACAAGUUCUGAAACAAAGGCAAGUUGAACUGAACUCGGAAGUUCAGUUCAGUCUUCAGAGAAGACUGAAGACUCAGAAAUCAUUCUCUUGAAACGACACUAUGCCAAGUUACAUAAAAUCACAAGCUCGUACCCUUGCGCUUUGUGCAAGAGAACCUUAGUGAGGCUGUGCGAAUUGGUGCGGCGUCAACAGAACAAACCGCUGUAUCAGUGCUCCACCUGUAAGAAAUGUUACUCUAAGCAAGGACUUUUAGAUAAUCACAGGAAAGCGCACACCGACACUGUAACGGCACACGUUUGUGAAACGUGUGGGAAAAGCUUCAAAUCGCUCGCUUAUCUGAUUCCGCACCAGAGCAAGCACAGAGAACAGCAGCCCAGUGUGUGCUCCUCCUGUGGCAAACAGUUCA